This 253-nucleotide ribosomal RNA is filed under the name uncultured bacterium. RNAcentral's name for it is "partial 16S ribosomal RNA". It matches the Rfam family "Bacterial small subunit ribosomal RNA", at positions 524 to 776 of the family's 1533-position model. The record is from RNAcentral.
UACGGAGGAUCCGAGCGUUAUCCGGAUUUAUUGGGUUUAAAGGGAGCGUAGGUGGAUUGUUAAGUCAGUUGUGAAAGUUUGCGGCUCAACCGUAAAAUUGCAGUUGAAACUGGCAGUCUUGAGUACAGUGGAGGUGGGCGGAAUUCGUGGUGUAGCGGUGAAAUGCUUAGAUAUCACGAAGAACUCCGAUUGCGAAGGCAGCUCACUAGACUGCAACUGACACUGAUGCUCGAAAGUGUGGGUAUCAAACAGG